CUAAAAGAAAGGAGAAAAAGAAGGAACAACUUCAUCAGCUCUGCUAUGAAAAUUCCAUAUGUUCCAUAUGUUCUCCAUGAACCCUUACCUAGGAGAAACCAUUCCAAGUGGCAACAGAGAGACAGAAAAAAGAAAACAGUGUUCCAUUAAAUUUGAUGAAGACCAACAAGGUUUAGCACCUGCUGUUCUUGAAAAAUUUCAUCAUAGGUGUCGCUGCUUGUAUGUAUCUGCCAUGGAAGUCAUCUCCUGCCCUGUCGGAAAAGGAAUCAAAGUGCCUCCACUUACAGUGACACAAUUCUUGAGACAACCUACAACUGCCCAAGUGAAAACCAUCAUAUACUGGCACCAAUCUACAAACCAUGUAGUUGACAUGCUGGCUAUUGAAAGGCAGACCUAUAUUUUUUUUCCUUAAAACAAUCUUUGACCUGUGCAAGUCUUUUUGGUCUUGGUUGUAGUUGUGUUAAAAGUUGCCUUGCACUUUUGGUCAGAAGAUUACUAAUAAAUGUAGCAAAUAAUCUAUAAAAAUAGUGCUGGACAACUUUGUCCCAUAUCAUAUUACUGUUUUCCCUUCAAUUAAUCUGGUUUUUCAAGACUCCCGUGCCCCCCACCACCAAAAAAAAUAAUAAUAAACACUAGUUCUUCUAGUAUAUAUGAGUUCAAUCACAACUCAGUUGGUAAAUUCUGAUCAAAAACAAACUCAAAGUAAGAAUACAUUUUACUUUAUUAGGUUUGUGCAAUCUGGGUAAACCACAAGCUAUUUCGUUUUCUGGCUUUUGGUGAGGGCCCCGAUCCAUUUUUGGAAGCUUCCCGAAUACAGGAGGGCAGAUAUUCCCUGCACAUUUUGAAUAAGAGUUAACAUACAGUAGUCUCAUUGGCUUAUGGAUAAAUUGAUCUAAGUUGUUUGCAUUGAAAUUUGACUGCCAUUUCUAGGCUUAUACAUGAGUAUAUAGAGUAAGUGUGUUCUGAUUUUGGCUCUAGAAAUGAAAAGUGGUUUGUGUCUGUCUGAUACAACUGUCUGGUAAGAGGAAAACAAAUAUGUGAAUGCCAUCUUAUUUGCUCUAUUUAAUUAAAUGUGAUAUAUGGAUAAGUAAAGGAGGAAAGGUGAGCUGAAGACCUUUAAUUCCAUUCCUUAAUCAGAAGAACCACAAAUCCAUGCAUGGGAUCUAUGCUUAUUAGAGUCUAGGCUGUAAAUAAUGUCUUGAGUGUGUGACACUAAACUGGCAGUAUAGCUCCAGAAAAUUCCAAAUUUUCUAUAUAAGGAAAGUUAUGAGAAGGAGAGGGGAGAAGAGCUCACAAAGAAAUUUGAAUUGGCUAAUAAUGAUCUUUAAGAGUGAACAAACAGUCUUGAAAGUGACACAAAGGAAAAUCAAAUAGGCCAUUCAGCCUGGCCUCCUUACAAUGAAAGAAAAAGAAAGCUAAUGUGAACAUAGCCCAUAUUUUUUUUCUGAUUAGAAAAUGAAAUGACUGGGCAAGAUAGCUGCCUUUUUAUAUAUUAGGUAUUAAUCUUCCUCUUUUGUACUGUGAUAGGGAUUGAUUUCUUCACAUCUCUCAGAUAAGGAGAUAAGCAAUCUUCUGAUCCCUUUUAAAAAGCAGAGAUGUGAAUCAAGUGAAGGGGUGCUUUGAUUGUGCUCUUCCUGCAUGGCAGGGGGUUGGACUAGACGGCCCAUGUGGUCUCUUCCAACUCUAUGAUUCUAUGUCUGCAGAUGUAUUUCAUGUAGAGAGUUAUUUAUAUAUUUAACAUAUUUUGGCCUGCUUUUUUACCUUCUAUCUCCAAAAACUUGUUCAAAGAACCACCUACAAAUAUAUUGGAAAUAAGGCAGUUCCUGGCUGAAGGUUUAAAGACAUGAUAUCUAAGAUAAAGCGACUGAGAGAGAGGAAGAAAGAUAUCAACUAAAUUGGGAUUAGAUUCUUAGUUGAAUAAUUCAACAAGCAGUAACUUCAGCAGUCUAUAGAGCUGGGUUUAAGUAUAGUGGCUAUUGUCUCUCAUCUACAGAUCUUGAGAAUAUUAUCAAGACAACGAUUGGGACUGUUUCUAUAAUAAACAAAUAUAUGAGUUAUACUGGAUUUAAGACUAAAGACUGAAUUAGCUUUAAUCCGAAUUCAAACCCGAUGUGAUGUUAACACUAUUCCUUGUUACUAUCUAUAUAUAUAAAAGAGUGAUGGCAUCAGGGCAGCGGACAAAACAACAAAACUACAGGCCCCCCAACCUCGAAAUUUGACAACACAAAUCAUCCACGGCUCUAGGUUGAUACAACAAAAAGAAAAGAAAAAUAAAGUCCUAAUUAGAGGGAGAGGAAUAAUUGUUUUUAUCCAAUUGCUGCCAGUUACAAGGCUAAGUUCCACCCACUUGGUCUCCUAGCAACCUACUCAGCCCAGGGGACAGGCACAGUUAGGCCUCACUUAGGCCUCUUCCACAGAUUAUCUAAUUUGCACUGGAUUAUAUGGCAGUGUAGACUCAAGGCCCUUCCACACAGCUAUAUUACCCAUUUAUAAUCUUAUAUUAUCUGCUUGACAUUGGAAUAUCUUGACUCCACACUGCCAUAUAAUCCACUUCAGUGUGCAUUUUAUACAACUGUGGAGAAGGGGCCUCAUAUAAUCCAGUUCUAUGCAGAUAAUAUAAGAUUAUAAAUAUACAGUAGAGUCUCACUUAUCCAACAUAAACAGGCUGGCAGAAUGUUGGAUAAAUGAAUAUGUUGGAUAAUAAGAAGGGAUUCAGAAAAAGCCUAUUAAACAUCAAAUUAGAUAAUGAUUAUACAAAUUAAGCACCAAACAUCAUGUUAUACAACAAAUUGGACAGAAAAAGUAGUUCCAUGCGCAGUAAUGCUAUGUAGUAAUUACUGUAUUUACAAAUUUAGCACCAAAAUAUCACAAUGAAUUUAAAAUAUUGACUACAAAAACAUUGACUACUAAAAGGCAGAGUGCAUUGGAUAAUCCAGAACACUGGAUAAGCGAAUGUUGGAUAAGUGAGAUUCUACUGUAAUAUGAAAUAAUUACUGUGGUAAUCCAGUCCAACCCAAUUCUGCCAUGGAGGACACAAUCCAAACACGCCCAACAGAUGGCCACCCAGCCUCUCAAUAAUAAUAAUAAUAAUAAUAAUAAUAAGAAGAAGAAGAAGAAGAAGAAGAAGAAGAAGAAGAAGAUCAUACAAUCAUAACGUUAGGAGACACCCCUAAGGAUCAUCCAGAACAACUUCCUUCUACCAUGCAGGAGGACACCAUCCAAUCACUCCUGACAGAUGGCCAUCCAAUAUCUGCACAAUAAUAAUACACAUCGAAUCAUAACAUCAGACAGUUAGAAGACACCCCUAAAGGCCAUCCAGCCCAACCCAAUUCUGCCAUGGAGGACACAAUCCAAGCACGCCCAACAGAUGGCCACCCAGCCUCUCAAUAAUAAUAAUAAUAAUAAUAAUAAUAAUAAGAAGAAGAAGAAGAAGAAGAAGAAGAAGAAGAAGAAGAAGAAGAUCAUACAAUCAUAACGUUAGGAGACAAAGGAUCAUCCAGAACAACUUCCUUCUACCAUGCAGGAGGACAC
RNAcentral lists this long non-coding RNA (3531 nucleotides) under Anolis carolinensis (green anole). Its description in RNAcentral is "lncRNA (ENSACAG00000035266.1)". Lineage: Eukaryota; Metazoa; Chordata; Lepidosauria; Squamata; Anolidae. The record is from RNAcentral.